UCCGGUUGAUCCUGCCGGAGGCUACUGCUAUCGGGGUCCGACUAAGCCAUGCGAGUUGAGAGGGGUAAGCCCUCGGCAUAUUGCUCAGUAACACGCGGAUAACCUGCCCUUGGGUUCGGGAUAACCCCGGGAAACUGGGACUAAUACCGGAUAGAUCAAGGAAACUGGAAUGUUCUCUGGUUAAAAACUCCGGUGCCCAAGGGUGGGUCUGCGGCCUAUCAGGUAGUAGUGGGUGUAACGUACCUACUAGCCUACGACGGGUAAGGGUUGUGAGAGCAAGAGCCCUGAGAUGGAUUCUGAGACAUGAAUCCAGGCCCUACGGGGUGCAGCAGGCGCGAAAACUUUACACUGCGGGAAACCGCGAUAAGGGGACCCCGAGUGCCAGCACCUAGUGCUGGCUGUCCAGCUGUCCAAAUAACAGUUGUUAGCAAGGGCCGGGCAAGACCGGUGCCAGCCGCCGCGGUAACACCGGCGGCCCGAGUGGUAGCCGUUAUUAUUGGGUUUAAAGGGUCCGUAGCCGGCCUAUUAAGUCUCUUGGGAAAUCUGGCGACUCAAUCGUCAGGCGUCCAAGAGAUACUGGUAGGCUUGGGACCGGGAGAGGUGGGAGGUACUCCAGGGGUAGGGGUGAAAUCUCGUAAUCCUUGGGGGACCACCGAUGGCGAAGGCAUCCCACCAGAACGGGUCCGACGGUGAGGGACGAAAGCUGGGGGCACGAACCGGAUUAGAUACCCGGGUAGUCCCAGCCGUAAACGAUGCUCGCUAGGUGUCAGGUGCGGUGCGACCGCAUCUGGUGCCGCAGUGAAAACUUGAAGCGAGUCACCUGGGAAGUACGGUCGCAAGGCUGAAACUUAAAGGAAU
RNAcentral lists this ribosomal RNA (858 nucleotides) under uncultured archaeon. Its description in RNAcentral is "bacterial SSU rRNA". It matches the Rfam family "Archaeal small subunit ribosomal RNA", at positions 1 to 865 of the family's 1478-position model. The record is from RNAcentral.